GACGAACGCUGGCGGCGUGCUUAACACAUGCAAGUCGAGCGGUAAGGCCCUUUCGGGGGUACACGAGCGGCGAACGGGUGAGUAACACGUGGGUGACCUGCCUUUAGCUCUGGGAUAAGCCUGGGAAACUGGGUCUAAUACCGGAUAUGACUCCGCGGUGCAUGCUGUGGGGUGGAAAGCCUUGUGCGGCUGGAGAUGGGCCCGCGGCCUAUCAGCUUGUUGGUGGGGUGAUGGCCUACCAAGGCGACGACGGGUAGCCGGCCUGAGAGGGCGACCGGCCACAC
RNAcentral lists this ribosomal RNA (284 nucleotides) under uncultured bacterium. Its description in RNAcentral is "partial 16S ribosomal RNA". It matches the Rfam family "Bacterial small subunit ribosomal RNA", at positions 28 to 313 of the family's 1533-position model. The record is from RNAcentral.